Aotus nancymaae (Ma's night monkey) is the source of this 1687-nucleotide long non-coding RNA. The record is from Ensembl. NCBI's taxonomy places the organism in Eukaryota, Metazoa, Chordata, Mammalia, Primates, Aotidae.
GUGCAGCACGAGGGGCUGCCAGAGCCUCUCACCCUGAGAUGGGAGUCGUCUUCCCAGCCCACCGUCCCUCUUGUGGGCAUUGUUGCUGGCCUGGUUGUCCUUGGAGCUGUGGUCACUGGAGCUGUGGUCGCUGCUGUGAUGUGGAGGAAGAAGAUCCUCAGAUAGAAACAGAGAGAGCUGCUCUCAGACUGCAAUGUGAGGUAGCCGCCUUGUGUGGUACUGAGAAGCAAGAUUUGUUCACGCCUCCCUUUUGUGAUUUCAAGUACCCUGAAUUCUCUUUCUGCAAACGUGUCAAAAUGUGUCUUCAUCCCUGUUAGUAUAAUGUGAGAAGGUGGGCACCAGUCCACCCCCGUGUCCUCCAUGACCCCCUUCCCCGCACGGCCCCAUGUUGUUUCUACCCAAUGAUCUUUCCUGUUCCAGAGACAUGGGGCUUGGAUGUCUUUAUCUCUGUCUGAACUUCAUGCUGCACUGAGCUGCAAUUUCCUACUUCCCUAUUAAAAUUAGAAUCUGAGUAUAAAUUUACUUCUUCAAAUUCUUGCCAUGGGAGGUUGAUGAGUUAAUUAAAGGAGGAGAUCACUAAAGUUUAACAGACAAAAUAAAUGGAAGACUUGAGAACCUUCCAGAGUCUAUGUGUUUCUUCUACUGAUCUGUUGCAGAGGAUGAGAAUAGAUGGGCUGUGGCUGGUGGGAGCUCAGGCCACUGUGGGCUUUAUGUGGUCACUGCUCGCCUGUGUCAUCUUUGCUGCUCCAAUGGCCUUGGUCCUUCAGUAGAACCUUGUCCCACCAGGGCCUGUGAUCACAGGGACUCAGAUGUCAUUUAGGGCAGUCCCUGCACACAGAAGUCCUUGUGGUAUCAAGAGACUAAGUUUUCAGACCUGUCCAGUGCUUGCCCUCCUUCUAGGGCUCUUCCUGGAUUGUAUUUUCCAUCUUUUCACCAGCCUUCUUACAGGAACCAGAUUCUGAUAUUUGCAGAGAGGAGGGGGCCCAUAGUUUCUCAUCAUAGGUAACUUUCUGUUGGAACUCCUUCUGCUCUCUCUCCUACUCUUCUUCCUGCCCUGAGUUGUAGUAAUCCUAGUGUGGGCUCCAAUACAAACCCAUGGAUUUGUAAAACAGUGUCCAAAUUAGAUUUAUAUGCAGUUGAAAAAUUAGACUUAUAAUCCUAGGAUUAUCUUUCUUGAAGAGAGACAUAUGAUUGUGUGCUGCCGUGUGCAGGAGGGUUGGUGUGGGAGGAGGGAUGAGGGGAGGGGGGCACACAAGCAGCGCUGGUGACAAAAGCGCUCGUGGCACUGAUGUCGGCCUGAGAGGAUGUUGUGNNNNNNNNNNCUGGAUUGUAUUUUCCAUCUUUUCACCAGCCUUCUUACAGGAACCAGAUUCUGAUAUUUGCAGAGAGGAGGGGGCCCAUAGUUUCUCAUCAUAGGUAACUUUCUGUUGGAACUCCUUCUGCUCUCUCUCCUACUCUUCUUCCUGCCCUGAGUUGUAGUAAUCCUAGUGUGGGCUCCAAUACAAACCCAUGGAUUUGUAAAACAGUGUCCAAAUUAGAUUUAUAUGCAGUUGAAAAAUUAGACUUAUAAUCCUAGGAUUAUCUUUCUUGAAGAGAGACAUAUGAUUGUGUGCUGCCGUGUGCAGGAGGGUUGGUGUGGGAGGAGGGAUGAGGGGAGGGGGGCACACAAGCAGCGCUGGUGACAAAA